RNAcentral lists this ribosomal RNA (478 nucleotides) under uncultured bacterium. RNAcentral's name for it is "partial 16S ribosomal RNA". It matches the Rfam family "Bacterial small subunit ribosomal RNA", at positions 28 to 507 of the family's 1533-position model. The record is from RNAcentral.
GAUGAACGCUGGCGGCGUGCCUAACACAUGCAAGUCGAACGGAGUCCAGCCUUUAAGACCUUCGGGUCAAAGAGGGGAAGACUGAGUGGCGGACGGGUGAGUAACACGUGGGCAACCUGGCUCAUAGAGGGGGAUAACAGAGAGAAAUUUCUGCUAAUACCGCAUAAGCACACACUGCCGCAUGGCAGAGGGUGAAAAGAGAAUCGCUAUGAGAUGGACCCGCGUCUGAUUAGCCAGGUGGCAGGGUAAGAGCCUACCAAAGCGACGAUCAGUAGCCGAUCUGAGAGGAUGAACGGCCACAUUGGGACUGAGACACGGCCCAAACUCCUACGGGAGGCAGCAGUGGGGGAUAUUGCACAAUGGGGGGAACCCUGAUGCAGCGACGCCGCGUGAGUGAAGAAGUAUUUCGGUAUGUAAAGCUCUAUCAGCAGGGAAGAUAAUGACAGUACCUGAAUAAGAAGCCCCGGCUAACUACGUG